RNAcentral lists this ribosomal RNA (253 nucleotides) under uncultured bacterium. Its description in RNAcentral is "partial 16S ribosomal RNA". It matches the Rfam family "Bacterial small subunit ribosomal RNA", at positions 524 to 776 of the family's 1533-position model. The record is from RNAcentral.
UACGUAGGGGGCAAGCGUUGUUCGGAAUUACUGGGCGUAAAGGGCGCGUAGGCGGCACAGCAAGUCGGGAGUGAAAGCCCGGGGCUCAACCCCGGAAUGGCUUUCGAAACUGCUGAGCUAGAGUACAGAAGGGGCAACCGGAAUUCUCAGUGUAGCGGUGAAAUGCGUAGAUAUUGGGAAGAACACCUGAGGCGAAGGCGGGUUGCUGGGCUGAUACUGACGCUGAGGCGCGAAAGCCAGGGGAGCAAACGGG